This 93-nucleotide transfer RNA is filed under the name Variovorax sp. Its description in RNAcentral is "tRNA-Ala". The record is from RNAcentral. RNAcentral also lists the same sequence under 1 other name. Lineage: Bacteria; Pseudomonadati; Pseudomonadota; Betaproteobacteria; Burkholderiales; Comamonadaceae.
GCCGGUCGUGGCCGGUGGCGGCGGCCGCGCCCUGCGCGCGCGCCGAGCUGUCGAGGAAGCCGGUCACGAUGUUCCAGCCGAUGCGGCCCUCGC